This is a long non-coding RNA of Amphimedon queenslandica, 260 nucleotides long. RefSeq lists it as uncharacterized. The record is from RefSeq and is a predicted model, not a curated record. The transcript has 2 exons. NCBI's taxonomy places the organism in Eukaryota, Metazoa, Porifera, Demospongiae, Haplosclerida, Niphatidae.
CAUAUAUAGUCUAUCUAUACCACCACCUAUCAUGACCUAUGGCUAAUGAUCUGUACGUUGCUGCAGUGUUGUAUGCAGCUAAUUUUUGACUGAAAUCAAAUACUGUCUACACAUACAGAACUUGAUGGUACUCAGUCUGCUCCCUGGUAUUGCCAAAAAACUUACAGCUGUUUUCCUGUCUGCCCAGUUUGUUUACUGAUUAAAAUGUUAAUUAUUGCUAAAAUUAAUUAAAUUAUCAUAAGUAAUAGACCCCUCCCCAA